GACGAACGCUGGCGGCGCGCCUAACACAUGCAAGUCGAACGGAGCUGAGAGAAGCUUGCUUUUCUUAGCUUAGUGGCGAACGGGUGAGUAACGCGUGAGUAACCUGCCCUGGAGUGGGGGACAACAGUUGGAAACGACUGCUAAUACCGCAUAAGCCCACGAUCCGGCAUCGGAUUGAGGGAAAAGGAUUUAUUCGCUUCAGGAUGGACUCGCGUCCAAUUAGCUAGUUGGUGAGGUAACGGCCCACCAAGGCGACGAUUGGUAGCCGGACUGAGAGGUUGGACCGCCACCUUGGGGAUGGGACACGGCCCAGAAUCCUACGGGAGGGAGCAGUGGGGGAUAAUGCACAAUGGGGGAAACCCUGAUGCAGCGACGCCGCGUGGAGGAAGAAGGUUUUCGGAUUGUAAACUCCUGUCGUUAGGGACGAUAAUGACGGUACCUAACAAGAAAGCACCGGCUAACUACGUG
This 468-nucleotide ribosomal RNA is filed under the name uncultured bacterium. RNAcentral's name for it is "partial 16S ribosomal RNA". It matches the Rfam family "Bacterial small subunit ribosomal RNA", at positions 28 to 507 of the family's 1533-position model. The record is from RNAcentral.